RNAcentral lists this ribosomal RNA (1267 nucleotides) under uncultured bacterium. RNAcentral's name for it is "bacterial SSU rRNA". It matches the Rfam family "Bacterial small subunit ribosomal RNA", at positions 222 to 1501 of the family's 1533-position model. The record is from RNAcentral.
CGGAUUGGCUCGCGUGACAUUAGUUAGAUGGUAAGGUAACGGCUUACCAAGACUACGAUGUCUAGGGGUUCUGAGAGGAAGAUCCCCCACACUGGUACUGAGACACGGACCAGACUCCUACGGGAGGCAGCAGUGAGGAAUAUUGGUCAAUGGCCGGAAGGCUGAACCAGCCAUCCCGCGUGCAGGAUGACGGCCCUAUGGGUUGUAAACUGCUUUUGUACCUGAAGAAUGGGCCCAACGAGUAUUUUCUUGACGGUAGAGUAGGAAUAAGCACCGGCUAACUCCGUGCCAGCAGCCGCGGUAAUACGGAGGGUGCAAGCGUUAUCCGGAUUUAUUGGGUUUAAAGGGUGCGUAGGCGGUGAUAUGGGUCAUUGGUGAAAUACUGCCGCUUAACGGUAGAAUUGCCAUUGAUACUGUUUUUCUUGAGUAUGGUUGAGGUAGGUGGAAUGUGUUGUGUAGCGGUGAAAUGCAUAGAUAUGACACAGAACGCCGAUUGCGAAGGCAGCUUACUAAGCCAUUACUGACGCUGAGGCACGAAAGCGUGGGGAUCGAACAGGAUUAGAUACCCUGGUAGUCCACGCCGUAAACGAUGAUCACUCGCUGUUUGCGAUAUACAGCAAGCGGCUGAGCGAAAGCAUUAAGUGAUCCACCUGGGGAGUACGAUCGCAAGGUUGAAACUCAAAGGAAUUGACGGGGGCCCGCACAAGCGGAGGAACAUGUGGUUUAAUUCGAUGAUACGCGAGGAACCUUACCUGGGCUUGACAUCCCGGGAAUUGUCAGAGAUAUCAUAGCUAGCAAUAGUCUGUAUCGAGGUGCUGCAUGGUUGUCGUCAGCUCGUGCCGUGAGGUGUCGGCUUAAGUGCCAUAACGAGCGCAACCCUUGUCGUUAGUUGCCAUCAAGUAAUGUUGGGGACUCUAGCGAGACUGCCACCGUAAGGUGUGAGGAAGGGGGGGAUGACGUCAAAUCAGCACGGCCCUUACGUCCGGGGCGACACACGUGUUACAAUGGUAGGUACAGAGGGGCGCUAUCCAGCGAUGGAAUGCGAAUCUCAAAAACCUAUCUCAGUUCGGAUCGGAGUCUGCAACUCGACUCCGUGAAGUUGGAUUCGCUAGUAAUCGCGCAUCAGCACGCCGCGGGUGAAUGCGUUCCCGGGCCUUGUACACACCGCCCGUCAAACAAUGGAAGCUGGGGGUACCUGAAGUCUGUAACCGCAAGGAGCGGCCUAGGGUAAAACUAGUAACUGGUGUUAAGUCGUAACAAGGUAACC